RNAcentral lists this ribosomal RNA (467 nucleotides) under uncultured bacterium. RNAcentral describes it as "partial 16S ribosomal RNA". It matches the Rfam family "Bacterial small subunit ribosomal RNA", at positions 28 to 523 of the family's 1533-position model. The record is from RNAcentral.
GACGAACGCUGGCGGCGUGCUUAACACAUGCAAGUCGAGCGAGAAACUUCGGUUUCUAGCGGCGGACGGGUGAGUAACACGUGGGCAACCUGCCUCACAAUGGGGGAUAGCCUUCCGAAAGGAAGAUUAAUACCGCAUAACACAAAGGAAACGCAUGUUUCUUUUGCCAAAGAAUUUCGUUGUGAGGUGGGCCCGCGGCGCAUUAGCUUGUUGGUGAGGUAACGGCUCACCAAGGCGACGAUGCGUAGCCGACCUGAGAGGGUGAUCGGCCACAUUGGAACUGAGACACGGUCCAGACUCCUACGGGAGGCAGCAGUGGGGAAUAUUGCACAAUGGAGGAAACUCUGAUGCGGCAACGCCGCGUGAGUGAUGAAGGUCUUCGGAUUGUAAAGCUCUGUCUUCUGGGACGAUAAUGACGGUACCAGAGGAGGAAGCCACGGCUAACUACGUGCCAGCCGCCGCCGUAA